CAGCCGCCGCGGUAAAACCAGCACCUCAAGUGGUCAGGAUGAUUAUUGGGCCUAAAGCAUCCGUAGCCGGCUCUGUAAGUCCUCGGUUAAAUCUGUACGCUUAACGUACAGGCUGCCGGGAAUACUGCAUAGCUAGGGAGUGGGAGAGGUAGACGGUACUCGGUAGGAAGGGGUAAAAUCCUUUGAUCUAUUGAUGACCACCUGUGGCGAAGGCGGUCUACCAGAACACGUCCGACGGUGAGGGAUGAAAGCUGGGGGAGCAAACCGGAUUAGAUACCCGGGUAGUCCCAGCUGUAAACUAUGCAAACUCAGUGAUGCAUUGGCUUAUGGCCAAUGCAGUGCUGCAGGGAAGCCGUUAAGUUUGCCGCCUGGGAAGUACGUACGCAAGUAUGAAACUUAAAGGAAUUGGCGGGGGAGCACCA
RNAcentral lists this ribosomal RNA (422 nucleotides) under uncultured archaeon. Its description in RNAcentral is "bacterial SSU rRNA". It matches the Rfam family "Archaeal small subunit ribosomal RNA", at positions 459 to 881 of the family's 1478-position model. The record is from RNAcentral.